AGCAAGGGGGGGGGGUGAAACCCUAACUUCACAAAAUCCACAAGAAUUACUAGAAAUCUUAAGGAAAUCGAAAGAAUAAUCAUCAAAUUCUAAGCUCCUACACCUGUUCUUUGAAGUGGCGUGAAGGAAGAAGGUACAAGCACUAGGAAAACGGAAGGCACGCAAGAUCGAGGUAAAUCCUCGGCUUAGGCGAUUGGACGGCUUGGAACGUGCACACUUGAUUCAUGCCUGCCUCACGCUUCCGUCAUAAGUUAUUUUGAUAUGGGUUAGAUUUUG
This is a long non-coding RNA of Helianthus annuus (common sunflower), 276 nucleotides long. RefSeq lists it as uncharacterized. The transcript is spliced from 3 exons. The record is from RefSeq and is a predicted model, not a curated record. Lineage: Eukaryota; Viridiplantae; Streptophyta; Magnoliopsida; Asterales; Asteraceae.